GGCUCAGGGGAGCAGUGACAGAUGUCCUCAGAUGCCCCUUUGCUAUCUGAAGGGGACACACAGCCUCCUUAGGGUCCCGUCCUGCAGGGAGAGGCCCACAGAGAGCCGCGGAGCUCAGAGUCGCCAGCCUCCAGAGGUCAGUGUUGGGGCACAAAACCAGCUCCCGUCCAGAUGCCCGGUCACAUGCCAGGCGCCCGGCCGCACCCGCCACAGUGUCUCCAGCCACUAAGCAGCCCAGGGCACGGCUUGGGUAAAACAGCCAGGCCUCCUUCAUGUGCCCAGCAGCUGCACCCCUGAAAACCUCACUCCAGGGCUGGGGGUGUAGCUCGGUGGCCCAGCGCUUGCCUGGGAGGCCCUAGCCUCAGUCCUCAGCCCUGAAGAAACGAAAAAUGUCAGAUCGUAUUAAAAGCAUGCGACGGGUGCUGUGUUCCUAUGAGACACAGGUCAGCCAGGUCCAGGCAGAGGGUUAGGCCGAGCUCAGGCUUUCCUGGGCGGCGGCAGGACAGUCCAUCCAUUAGGCAGGAGGCAGUGGGGUGAGCAGAACUCCGGCCCCAGAACACCCAGUCAAAACCCAUGUCCUAGCAACUUCCCAGAGGCCCCCGGGACAGGUGCUUUCUCCUUUGAGGCUGCCCCACGCCAACCUCCUGCACGGGGACUGGAGGGGCCUCCCGACCGGCACAUCAGAUCAGGGAGCACAUUUUGGCCUGAAGUCUUUCCUCCUGCGUUUUUGGCUGUGUGGCCUUGGGCAGAUGGUGCCCCCUCUCUGAGCUGCCUUUCCUGGUCUGUAGAUCUCUUGCUAAUGGAAGGUGCCACCUCGACGGGCCUCUGAGCACACACAGGUAGAGGCUGCAGUGGCUCUGCUCUGACUGCUGUGGGGGUGGACAGGGGCCUUUGGAAGUCCCAGGUCCCCCCUCUGGCGAGCUGGUGCUGAUUCCCACAAACUGAGCAGGGCUGAGGGUGGGGCCCGGCAACCUCCAGCAGAGGCCAGACCAGGGGGGUCCACAGGGCCNUC
This 1012-nucleotide long non-coding RNA is filed under the name Marmota monax (woodchuck). Lineage: Eukaryota; Metazoa; Chordata; Mammalia; Rodentia; Sciuridae. The record is from RNAcentral.